UCAGCCAGAAACGCCGUAGCAGGUCUCCUAUGCUGGUUUUUCAUAUUUUUGCACCAUGUAAGUUCAAUUUUUACUUUUUCUUAGUAAUUUUUAUGUUUUUGUGACUUUUACAAUUAGGUCCAAUCAUCUAAUUCAUUAGUUUUUGAUUUGGUGGAUGAAAUUGGAAGUUCCCCUGGCUGAGUAAGGGCAGUUUAUGAUGAAUUAUUAUGAAAUUGAAGUUCUAAUUUCAUAUUAAGGUUGUUUUAUUAAGUCAUUUUGAUAGAAAAUGGUAUUUAGGACCUAAUUGUGAAAACAAUUGUGAAUUAGAUGUUGGUGUUGAAAUUCAGAAUAUCAAAGGUUGUGAAAUAGUUUAUAAUGAUAAAAUAAAGUGUUAAUUGAGAAAAAUUAGUUCAAUUUAUGGGUGAAUUGAGUAGGGACUAAAUUGUAAAAACUAUAAAUUUUGGGGUAAAAGUGCAAUUUCGAAAUUUGAACAGCAUAAAUUGUGAAGUGAAAUAGAAAUCAAAUAAAUGCUAAUGAGUAGAAAUAAUUUAUAUUAUAGAUCAAGAGAAACGAGAUUCAAGUCGUGAUCGAGGGAAAAAUAAAGUUUACGAGGAAUAAGCUCGAUUGCUAAUAUUUUAUAUCGAGGUAAGUUCAUAUGAUUUUUAAUAAUGCAAUGUGUAAUUUAAUGUUUUGAAAUGAAAAUUUCAUGAAUGAUAUAGUAUAUUAUUGCAUGUAAAAUGUCAUUAAACUGUGAUAAUUGUAAAAUGAUAUUUGAAUAAAAGUACAAAUUAAAUGGAACAACGGACUUGAGUACUUUCAUUCAGUGGCUAAGACGAAUUGACGGAAAAGACCAUGGUUGGACCAUGGCAGCAUGUGAAAUGUGAUUUCCGUAUAAGACCAUAGCUGGGCUAUGGCUUCGGAGAAAUGUGAUAUGUGCUUCCGUAUAAGACCAUAUCCGGGAUAUGGCAUCGGUGUGAUAUGUGCUACUGUAUAAGACCAUAUCUGGGAUAUGACAUCAGUGUGAUAUGUGAUCCGUGUAAGACCAUGGCUGGGCUAUGGCCUCGGUAUGUGAUAUGUGACUAUGUGCAAGACCAUAGUUUUACUAUGGCAUUGUGAUAAUGAGGUACUCAAUUCCGUAAUCGUUCCCUAAUUUGAUUAUGAACGAAAAUGUAAAAUGGCCCGAAAAGAUUAAGAAUUGGUGAAUACUAUGAAAAUGACACGAUUUGGAAUAAGUUCUUGAUACUUGAUGACAUUGAGAUUAUGGAUCUAUGCUUAUGAAGCAUAAUUAUGUGUUCUUACCAUGAUGGAUGAAAUAAUAUUGUAUGGAUUUAGUGAAUAAUAGUGGUGAAUGAAUAAAUAUGGCCUUGGCAGUUUUGGGUUACUGCAGUAGUGUAUAUUUUAAAAUUCACUAUAAAUUGUGGAAAUUGAGUUAAGGGCUGAAUAAAAUAUGAGAUUAAAGCCUGAUGAGUUUAGUUUCAUAUAGAGGAAACGGUGCAUGCAAUUGGAUUUUAUGUUAUAAGAUAUUUAAAUUGUUGUGAGACAGAGUUUGAAUGACUUCGAGAUCCCCUGUUCUGAUUUUAGAAAAUCAUUAGAAAUUGUACAAAAAUAAUUAUGAGUUUUAAUUUAUAUAUUUAAAAUCCUUAUCGAGACUAUUUUCAAUAGGGAUAGACGGGAACAUCAUCCAAGUCCCGAAUUAUGAGAUAAAUAAUUUUUAGUGAAGAGAGAUCAGAACUGUUGGACAGCGAAACAGGGGAAACUUUAAUGAAUAAACUGUACUAAAUGGCUAAACCAAAAAUUCUGGAAAUUUUAUGGCAGAAAGGUAUAUGAAUCUAGUUUCAAGGAAAAUUAACGGAACUUAAUUUGAAGUUUCGUAGCUCCAGAAAUAAAUUAUUUAGUAAAUGUAUCUCGAUAAAACAGUUUAAGCUGAGUAUGUAUAAUUGUACAAUUGUGGUGUUUUAUCUUAAAAGCAUGUUGGUAAUUGCUUAUUAAUUUCAUAUGGACUUACUAAGCAUUUAUGCUUACUCCCUCCUUUUCAUUCCUUGUAGUUUUGAUAAGCCAGCUCGGAAAUCGGGAACGGUCGGUGGCCCACUCACACUAUCCGUAUACCAUCUUGGCGUAAUGGCUUGUAUAUUUUGAGUAUGGCAUGUAUAGCAUUAUAAUCAUUUUGUAUAUAUGGUCUUAUGAUAUGGAUAUUGAGUGGUAUGGAAAUGUUUGGUAAUGAUUAGCCAUUGGAAUGGCUAAUCAUGAUCAUAUUUGGUGUUAUAUAUGCUAAAUUGCUAGCUAAUCCAUGGAAACCAUGAAAUAGGCAAAAUUUACCAUAAAAUAGAUCCAGACAGCAGCAGUGAUGUGAGUUUGAAAAAUCAUUAAAAAUAGUAGAGAUACAAU
This 2364-nucleotide long non-coding RNA is filed under the name Gossypium barbadense (sea-island cotton). RNAcentral's name for it is "long non-coding RNA (GBAR_LNC011756)". The record is from RNAcentral. Lineage: Eukaryota; Viridiplantae; Streptophyta; Magnoliopsida; Malvales; Malvaceae.